Glycine max (soybean) is the source of this 104-nucleotide non-coding RNA. The record is from Rfam. Lineage: Eukaryota; Viridiplantae; Streptophyta; Magnoliopsida; Fabales; Fabaceae.
GGGAUAUGAGGAGUGGUGAAAUCUCGCACAAAAUAUGCGAGUGGGGUGUCCACCCCAGCCUGGUUACGACACUAGGACACUCUCUUUUUAACCAAUCUGAUCCC